GUUAAAUGAAUUCCCUUGGAUUUACAAUACUCACAAAGCCGAGGCUGCUGCCAUACAGGAUGAAUCUUCACUUGGUUAACAGCGGGAGUAACACGAGCAACAGCUAGCAGGUCUUCAAGCUGCUUUACAGAGAAAUUACUAACUCCAAUCGCUCGAGCCUUGCCAGAAUCAAACAAUGCUUCCAUUGCUCGCCAUGUGCUGGGAAUGUCAGGGCCUGGCCAGUGAAUAAGGUACAGAUCAACAUAGUCAAGUUGCAGGUCACGCAAGGUUCUGUUCAAUGCCUUCGGAACAUCUUCUGGUGCAUGAUCAGUGUUCCAGAGUUUGGAGGUGAUCCAUAAGUCCUCACGUUUCACUAAACCAUCUUUAAAAACAUUCUUUAGAGCAACACCAAUCUGUUUCUCGUUCCCAUACAUUUGAGCGCAAUCAAUGUGUCGAUAUCCAACCUUAACAGCGGUGGUGAUGGCCCCUCCGACGGCGUUAGGGGCAGCCGCCCAUGUGCCUAACCCAACGGAGGGGAUUUUGGCUCCUGUGUUUAACUCAAAGAAUUUAAUUGAUUUCGCCAUUUCUCAAGAAAAAC
This 577-nucleotide unclassified non-coding RNA is filed under the name Hevea brasiliensis (rubber tree). The record is from RNAcentral. Lineage: Eukaryota; Viridiplantae; Streptophyta; Magnoliopsida; Malpighiales; Euphorbiaceae.